UCCUCCGUAGCUCAAUGGCAGAGCAACCGGCUGUUAACCGGUAGGUUAUUGGUUCGAAUCCAAUCGGAGGAG
RNAcentral lists this transfer RNA (72 nucleotides) under Chloroflexota bacterium. RNAcentral's name for it is "Chloroflexi bacterium tRNA-Asn". It matches the Rfam family "tRNA". From Rfam's summary of the family: Transfer RNA (tRNA) molecules are approximately 80 nucleotides in length. Their secondary structure includes four short double-helical elements and three loops (D, anti-codon, and T loops). Further hydrogen bonds mediate the characteristic L-shaped molecular structure. tRNAs have two regions of fundamental functional importance: the anti-codon, which is responsible for specific mRNA codon recognition, and the 3' end, to which the tRNAs corresponding amino acid is attached (by aminoacyl-tRNA synthetases). tRNAs cope with the degeneracy of the genetic code in two manners: having more than one tRNA (with a specific anti-codon) for a particular amino acid; and 'wobble' base-pairing, i.e. permitting non-standard base-pairing at the 3rd anti-codon position. The record is from RNAcentral. Lineage: Bacteria; Bacillati; Chloroflexota.